GUGAGGAAUUUUCCGCAAUGGGCGAAAGCCUGACGGAGCAAUGCCGCGUGAAGGAUGAAGGCCUAUUGGUUGUAAACUUCUUUUCUCAGAAAAGAAUUAUGACGGUAUCUGAGGAAUAAGCAUCGGCUAACUCUGUGCCAGCAGCCGCGGUAAGACAGAGGAUGCAAGCGUUAUCCGGAAUGAUUGGGCGUAAAGCGUCUGUAGGUUGUUUAAAAAGUAUUCUGUCAAAGAUUAGGGCUUAACCCUAGAUAGGCAGAAUAAACUUUUAAGCUAGAGUUUGGUAGAGGCAGAGGGAAUUCCCGGUGGAGCGGUGAAAUGCGUAGAUAUCGGGAGGAACACCAAAGGCGAAGGCACUCUGCUGGGCCAAUACUAACACUGAGAGACGAAAGCGAGGGGAGCAAAUGGGAUUAGAUACCCUUGUAGUCC
Molecule: ribosomal RNA, 426 nt
Filed under: uncultured bacterium
Lineage: Bacteria
Description: partial 16S ribosomal RNA
Rfam family: Bacterial small subunit ribosomal RNA
Source: RNAcentral